This 96-nucleotide microRNA precursor is filed under the name Prunus dulcis (almond). RNAcentral's name for it is "sRNA ncRNA". Lineage: Eukaryota; Viridiplantae; Streptophyta; Magnoliopsida; Rosales; Rosaceae. The record is from RNAcentral.
CAGACAAUAAUUUAAGAGGAUAGCCGCGCGGCUGUACUUUAAAAAUAUAAACUUAUAGCGUAUAGCCGUGCGGCUAUACUCUUAAAUUAUUGUAUU